UGGGGAAUAUUGGACAAUGGAGGAAACUCUGAUCCAGCCAUGCCGCGUGAGUGAUGAAGGCCUUCGGGUUGUAAAGCUCUUUAGACGGGGACAAUAAUGAUGGUACCCGUAGAAUAAGCUCCGGCUAACUCUGUGCCAGCAGCCGCGGUAAUACAGAGGGAGCUAGCGUUGUUCGGAAUUACUGGGCGUAAAGCGCGCGUAGGUGGCGUGGUAAGUUAGGAGUGAAAUCCUGGGGCUUAACCUCAGAAUUGCUCUUAAGACUGCUACGCUAGAGGUAGGCAGAGGAUGGUGGAAUUCUUAGUGUAGCGGUGAAAUGCGUAGAUAUUAAGAGGAACACCAGUGGCGAAAGCGGCCAUCUGGGCCUAUUCUGACACUAAAGUGCGAAAGCGUGGGGAGCAAA
This 400-nucleotide ribosomal RNA is filed under the name uncultured bacterium. Its description in RNAcentral is "bacterial SSU rRNA". It matches the Rfam family "Bacterial small subunit ribosomal RNA", at positions 355 to 772 of the family's 1533-position model. The record is from RNAcentral.